This 208-nucleotide ribosomal RNA is filed under the name uncultured bacterium. Its description in RNAcentral is "partial 16S ribosomal RNA". It matches the Rfam family "Bacterial small subunit ribosomal RNA", at positions 568 to 774 of the family's 1533-position model. The record is from RNAcentral.
CUCGUAGGCGGUUCAGUAAGUCGGGUGUGAAAACUUUGGGCUUAACCCAAAGCGUGCAUCCGAUACUGCUGUGACUUGAGUACGGUAGGGGAGCGGGGAAUUCCUAGUGUAGCGGUGAAAUGCGCAGAUAUUAGGAGGAACACCGGUGGCGAAGGCGCCGCUCUGGGCCGAAACUGACGCUGAGGAGCGAAAGCAUGGGUAGCAAACA